RNAcentral lists this ribosomal RNA (253 nucleotides) under uncultured bacterium. RNAcentral's name for it is "partial 16S ribosomal RNA". It matches the Rfam family "Bacterial small subunit ribosomal RNA", at positions 524 to 776 of the family's 1533-position model. The record is from RNAcentral.
UACGGAGGGUGCAAGCGUUAUCCGGAUUCACUGGGUUUAAAGGGUGCGUAGGUGGGCAGGUAAGUCAGUGGUGAAAUCUCCGGGCUUAACCCGGAAACUGCCAUUGAUACUAUUUUUCUUGAAUACUGUGGAGGUCAGCGGAAUAUGUCAUGUAGCGGUGAAAUGCUUAGAUAUGACAUAGAACACCAAUGGCGAAGGCAGCUGGCUACACAAAUAUUGACACUGAGGCACGAAAGCGUGGGGAUCAAACAGG